GAUGAACGCUGGCGGCGUGCCUAAUACAUGCAAGUCGAGCGAACAGACGAGGAGCUUGCUCCUUCGACGUUAGCGGCGGACGGGUGAGUAACACGUAGGGAACCUACCUAUAAGACUGGGAUAACUUCGGGAAACCGUAGCUAAUACCGGAUAAUAUUUCGAACCGCAUGGUUCGAUAGUGAAAGAUGGUUUUGCUAUCACUUAUAGAUGAACCUGCGCCGUAUUAGCUAGUUGGUAAGGUAACGGCUUACCAAGGCAACGAUACGUAGCCGACCUGAGAGGGUGAUCGGCCACACUGGAACUGAGACACGGUCCAGACUCCUACGGGAGGCAGCAGUAGGGAAUCUUCCGCAAUGGGCGAAAGCCUGACGGAGCAACGCCGCGUGAGUGAUGAAGGUCUUCGGAUCGUAAAACUCUGUUAUUAGGGAAGAACAAACGUGUAAGUAACUGUGCACGUCUUGACGGUACCUAAUCAGAAAGCCACGGCUAACUACGUG
Molecule: ribosomal RNA, 497 nt
Filed under: uncultured bacterium
Lineage: Bacteria
Description: partial 16S ribosomal RNA
Rfam family: Bacterial small subunit ribosomal RNA
Source: RNAcentral